UGGGGAAUUUUGCGCAAUGGGCGAAAGCCUGACGCAGCAACGCCGCGUGAGUGAUGAAGGCUUUCGGGUCGUAAAGCUCUGUCAAGGGGAAAGAGGUGUAUUAUGGUUAAUACCCAUGAUGCUUGACGGUACCCCUAAAGGAAGCACCGGCUAACUCCGUGCCAGCAGCCGCGGUAAUACGGAGGGUGCGAGCGUUGUUCGGAAUUAUUGGGCGUAAAGCGCGUGUAGGCGGUCUUUUAAGUCUGAUGUGAAAGCCCCGGGCUCAACCUGGGAAGUGCAUUGGAAACUGGGAGACUUGAAUACGGGAGAGGGUAGUGGAAUUCCUAGUGUAGGAGUGAAAUCCGUAGAUAUUAGGAGGAACACCGGUGGCGAAGGCGGCUACCUGGACCGAUAUUGACGCUGAGACGCGAAAGCGUGGGGAGCAAACA
Molecule: ribosomal RNA, 428 nt
Filed under: uncultured prokaryote
Description: bacterial SSU rRNA
Rfam family: Bacterial small subunit ribosomal RNA
Source: RNAcentral